Molecule: ribosomal RNA, 468 nt
Filed under: uncultured bacterium
Lineage: Bacteria
Description: partial 16S ribosomal RNA
Rfam family: Bacterial small subunit ribosomal RNA
Source: RNAcentral
GACGAACGCUUUCUUCUUUCUUAACACCUGCAAGUCGAACGGAAAGGCCCUGCUUUUGUGGGGUGCUCGAGUGGCGAACGGGUGAGUAACACGUGAGUAACCUGCCCUUGACUUUGGGAUAACUUCAGGAAACUGGGGCUAAUACCGGAUAGGAGCUCCUGCUGCAUGGUGGGGGUUGGAAAGUUUCGGCGGUUGGGGAUGGACUCGCGGCUUAUCAGCUUGUUGGUGGGGUAGUGGCUUACCAAGGCUUUGCCUUUUAGCCGGCCUGAGAGGGUGACCGGCCACAUUGGGACUGAGAUACGGCCCAGACUCCUACGGGAGGCAGCAGUGGGGAAUAUUGCACAAUGGGCGGAAGCCUGAUGCAGCAACGCCGCGUGCGGGAUGACGGCAUUCGGGUUGUAAACCGCUUUCGCCUGUGACGAAGCGUGAGUGACGGUAAUGGGUAAAGAAGCAAAGGCUAACUACGUG